AUGAACGCUGGCGGCGUGCUUAACACAUGCAAGUCGAACGAAGCACUUUAUUUGAUUUCCUUCGGGACUGAUUAUUUUGUGACUGAGUGGCGGACGGGUGGGUAACGCGUGGGUAACCUGCCUUGUACAGGGGGAUAACAGUUGGAAACGGCUGCUAAUACCGCAUAAGCGCACGGCAUCGCAUGAUGCAGUGUGAAAAACUCCGGUGGUAUAAGAUGGACCCGCGUUGGAUUAGCUAGUUGGUGAGGUAACGGCCCACCAAGGCGACGAUCCAUAGCCGACCUGAGAGGGUGACCGGCCACAUUGGGACUGAGACACGGCCCAAACUCCUACGGGAGGCAGCAGUGGGGAAUAUUGCACAAUGGGCGAAAGCCUGAUGCAGCGACGCCGCGUGAGCGAAGAAGUAUUUCGGUAUGUAAAGCUCUAUCAGCAGGGAAGAUAAUGACGGUACCUGACUAAGAAGCACCGGCUAAAUACGUG
This 480-nucleotide ribosomal RNA is filed under the name uncultured bacterium. RNAcentral describes it as "partial 16S ribosomal RNA". It matches the Rfam family "Bacterial small subunit ribosomal RNA", at positions 29 to 507 of the family's 1533-position model. The record is from RNAcentral.